Molecule: ribosomal RNA, 527 nt
Filed under: uncultured bacterium
Lineage: Bacteria
Description: bacterial SSU rRNA
Rfam family: Bacterial small subunit ribosomal RNA
Source: RNAcentral
AAUAGAUACCCUGGUAGUCCACGCCGUAAACGAUGAGUGCUAAGUGUUAGAGGGUUUCCGCCCUUUAGUGCUGCAGCUAACGCAUUAAGCACUCCGCCUGGGGAGUACGGUCGCAAGACUGAAACUCAAAGGAAUUGACGGGGGCCCGCACAAGCGGUGGAGCAUGUGGUUUAAUUCGAAGCAACGCGAAGAACCUUACCAGGUCUUGACAUCCUCUGACAACUCUAGAGAUAGAGCGUUCCCCUUCGGGGGACAGAGUGACAGGUGGUGCAUGGUUGUCGUCAGCUCGUGUCGUGAGAUGUUGGGUUAAGCCCCGCAACGAGCGCAACCCUUGAUCUUAGUUGCCAGCAUUCAGUUGGGCACUCUAAGGUGACUGCCGGUGACAAACCGGAGGAAGGUGGGGAUGACGUCAAAUCAUCAUGCCCCUUAUGACCUGGGCUACACACGUGCUACAAUGGAUGGUACAAAGGGCUGCAAGACCGCGAGGUCAAGCCAAUCCCAUAAAACCAUUCUCAGUUCGGAUUGUA